GUUGCUGAGAAAAUGUCUACAAUAGCCACUGCCAUAUCUCCAUGAUUCACGCCAACUAAUAAUCCCAUAAUUCCCAUUAUCCAAUUUUUGAAUUCUGUUUCGUAAAUGUAGGAAGUAGUUGGUAGAUUUUUCUGUAUUUAAGCAUUUCAAGUAUUCGCAAUAAAGCAGAGAAUUUGCAAUUUAAAACUGUGGCAUUUCUCGCUCAUAAGAGAAAACUUUAUCCAUUUUAUGCAUUUUUUAUUAGGACUUAACAAUUGGUAUCAAAACGAGUUAUUAAUGGUGUCGAAUAAGGAGCGAAUUGAGAACCUCAAGAUCGGCUUGCGUAGUCUGCAAGAUACAGUGAGCCGUCUGGAGGUAGGUAUGGUCGAUAAGCUUCUACUAAUUGAGGAGAACCUUCAGUGCCUCACAGACACCAUCAUGUCCAGCCAAUAAGGCUCCGCCAAUAAUUCAACGGGACGACUCGACCAGACACAGUAGAACAGGGAGUACGGCAUCGAAAGAACAAAACCUGGCCGACAACUCUUAUACUCGAAGUUAG
RNAcentral lists this long non-coding RNA (538 nucleotides) under Carica papaya (papaya). Its description in RNAcentral is "long non-coding RNA (CPAP_LNC009175)". Lineage: Eukaryota; Viridiplantae; Streptophyta; Magnoliopsida; Brassicales; Caricaceae. The record is from RNAcentral.